This is a regulatory RNA element of 143 nucleotides. It matches the Rfam family "Ribosomal protein L10 leader". From Rfam's summary of the family: This family is a putative r-protein leader autoregulatory structure found in B. subtilis and other low-GC Gram-positive bacteria. It is located in the 5' untranslated regions of mRNAs encoding ribosomal proteins L10 and L12 (rplJ-rplL). The record is from Rfam.
AAAAUAAAAACAUUUGUACUGUAGACAGCAGGGGCUCUUGGGCUUAAUUAUCCUGCCGAGGUAAUGCGAUAAAUUGGCUGAAACGCUUCAGCUUUAUGCUGCCUCCAUGUCUUUGUUUGAUAUGGAGGUUUUUUAUCUGCCUG